Molecule: transfer RNA, 45 nt
Filed under: Diplolaena microcephala
Lineage: Eukaryota; Viridiplantae; Streptophyta; Magnoliopsida; Sapindales; Rutaceae
Also listed under: 1 other name
Description: partial tRNA-Leu
Source: RNAcentral
CCGUCGACUUUCUAAAUCGUGAGGGUUCAAGUCCCUCUAUCCCCA